UUUGCAUCUCUCAUCCCUGAAAUACAGCCAGGUCAACACUAAACCGUCCUGCACACCUAGAAAACGGUGUGCGCAACCUGAACCACCAGAUCUUACUGUGAAAUUAGCAACAGAAGAUCCAUGAUGACAAGGUGGUCCUGCCCACUCCUGCCAUUAACGAGCUGACCCCCUUCCCUCACAGCCUUCCCAGAAGACACGGGAUAUCGUCCCACACAGAGCUGCUAUGACUCACAUGCGAGUCCGUACAAAUACAGGAAGAAGUACAUAAAUACUACUCCUCUCCUCAACACCUUUCUUCAAGCUGGUGUUUUCCACCCAUGGUGUCUGCAAAUGGGAAAAACCUUCUCCUGCCAAAAUGCGAAAUGUACAAAAUGAUUAACCUCCAAGGGCGCAGUAUUGCAAAGACCUUGGAGAUGAGAUGCCCGUCUGAGCCUUCAAAGGGCCUCCCCGCAAGACCAAGGAUGCCCACAAAAUGGGAGCAAGUGACAAUGUCACAUCUCUCAGGUCUGCCGCCCUCCUCCCCUGGCAUCUCCCUGUUCCCAUCCCAACGCUCUUUGACCCAGGCUCACUGACACCCCUCGGCCACGACUACAGAGCCAUGAAGACUGACAGCUCUCGGGGACCACCCACAGGAGCCACAGGUCUGCCUACAUGUGAACAAAGUCUGACUCUGGACC
Panthera uncia (snow leopard) is the source of this 677-nucleotide long non-coding RNA. RefSeq lists it as uncharacterized. The record is from RefSeq and is a predicted model, not a curated record. The transcript has 3 exons. Lineage: Eukaryota; Metazoa; Chordata; Mammalia; Carnivora; Felidae.